Stegodyphus dumicola is the source of this 548-nucleotide long non-coding RNA. Lineage: Eukaryota; Metazoa; Arthropoda; Arachnida; Araneae; Eresidae. The record is from RefSeq and is a predicted model, not a curated record.
UGAUUCCUGUCAUAAUCAUUUUUAUGAACACAGCCCCUUAAAUUCUGCAUAGUUAACACGCAAGUGGGGAAGAGAAACUGCAAUCUACAGAGUCAAGUCACACUAAUGUGACCACCUCCUAUAUUAACGUCAGCGCUAAACAUACAAUGACGUAAAUCAUGUAUCAGCAGCAAAUUUGCUCACCAAUUUAUUUUCUCGUGGAUAUUGGCUGCAUGGGUUCUGAGUGAUGAAGCAACAAUAGUGAAGAACUUCAAGAAAACGAGAUUAUCUAGUUUCAUAGUUCUGAAGAUCAUUGCACGUGGCAUAGCAGAGUGAAUGGUAACGAUGGAAACGACUUACAUGUUACAGAAGACAAAACAGAAAGAAAGUAAUUUCAGCAGCACUGAAUGACGUGAGGCCUAAGGAGUUGCAGUGGACAACAAUAAGAACAAUCGAGAUUCAAGAUACAGGAAAGAAGAUAUGAAAAUAUCUUAUUAGGUAUUGUAAAGGUAUUAUGAGUAUAUAUUCUUACUGAAAUGUAGUUUUUUUUAAUAAAUAAUAUGAUAGUU